Molecule: ribosomal RNA, 497 nt
Filed under: uncultured bacterium
Lineage: Bacteria
Description: partial 16S ribosomal RNA
Rfam family: Bacterial small subunit ribosomal RNA
Source: RNAcentral
GAUGAACGCUGACGGCGUGCCUAAUACAUGCAAGUCGAGCGAACGGACGAGAAGCUUGCUUCUCUGAUGUUAGCGGCGGACGGGUGAGUAACACGUGGAUAACCUACCUAUAAGACUGGGAUAACUUCGGGAAACCGGAGCUAAUACCGGAUAAUAUUUUGAACCGCAUGGUUCAAAAGUGAAAGACGGUCUUGCCGUCACUUAUAGAUGGAUCCGCGCUGCAUUAGCUAGUUGGUAAGGUAACGGCUUACCAAGGCAACGAUGCAUAGCCGACCUGAGAGGGUGAUCGGCCACACUGGAACUGAGACACGGUCCAGACUCCUACGGGAGGCAGCAGUAGGGAAUCUUCCGCAAUGGGCGAAAGCCUGACGGAGCAACGCCGCGUGAGUGAUGAAGGUCUUCGGAUCGUAAAACUCUGUUAUUAGGGAAGAACAUAUGUGUAAGUAACUGUGCACAUCUUGACGGUACCUAAUCAGAAAGCCACGGCUAACUACGUG